UACGUAGGGGGCUAGCGUUGUCCGGAUUUAUUGGGCGUAAAGAGCGUGUAGGCGGCCAGAUAGGUCUGCUGUGAAAACUCGAGGCUCAACCUCGAGAUGUCGGCGGAAACCAUUUGGCUAGAGUCCGGAAGAGGAAAGUGGAAUUCCUGGUGUAGCGGUGAAAUGCGCAGAUAUCAGGAGGAACACCGGUGGCGAAGGCGGGUCUCUGGGCCGAUACUGACGCUGAGGAGCGAAAGCGUGGGAGCGAACAGG
Molecule: ribosomal RNA, 252 nt
Filed under: uncultured bacterium
Lineage: Bacteria
Description: partial 16S ribosomal RNA
Rfam family: Bacterial small subunit ribosomal RNA
Source: RNAcentral